GGGCGUUAAGUUGCAGGGUAUAGACCCGAAACCCGGUGAUCUAGCCAUGGGCAGGUUGAAGGUUGGGUAACACUAACUGGAGGACCGAACCGACUAAUGUUGAAAAAUUAGCGGAUGACCUGUGGCUGGGGGUGAAAGGCCAAUCAAACCGGGAGAUAGCUGGUUCUCCCCGAAAGCUAUUUAGGUAGCGCCUCGUGAAUUCAUCUCCGGGGGUAGAGCACUGUUUCGGCUAGGGGGCCAUCCCGGCUUACCAACCCGAUGCAAACUGCGAAUACCGGAGAAUGUUAUCACGGGAGACACACGGCGGGUGCUAACGUCCGUCGUGAAGAGGGAAACAACCCAGACCGCCAGCUAAGGUCCCAAAGUCAUGGUUAAGUGGGAAACGAUGUGGGAAGGCCCAGACAGCCAGGAUGUUGGCUUAGAAGCAGCCAUCAUUUAAAGAAAGCGUAAUAGCUCACUGGUCGAGUCGGCCUGCGCGGAAGAUGUAACGGGGCUAAACCAUGCACCGAAGCUGCGGCAGCGAAUCGGGGCAGGGUGAGUCGACCCCUAAGGCGAGGCCGAAAGGCGUAGUCGAUGGGAAACGGGUUAAUAUUCCCGUACUUGGUGUUACUGCGAAGGGGGGACGGAGAAGGCUAUGUUGGCCGGGCGACGGUUGUCCCGGUUUAAGCGUGUAGG
RNAcentral lists this ribosomal RNA (675 nucleotides) under Salmonella enterica subsp. enterica serovar Infantis. Its description in RNAcentral is "partial 23S ribosomal RNA". The stretch from base 1 to 595 matches the Rfam family "Bacterial large subunit ribosomal RNA", at positions 690 to 1298 of the family's 2925-position model. Lineage: Bacteria; Pseudomonadati; Pseudomonadota; Gammaproteobacteria; Enterobacterales; Enterobacteriaceae. The record is from RNAcentral.